RNAcentral lists this ribosomal RNA (253 nucleotides) under uncultured bacterium. Its description in RNAcentral is "partial 16S ribosomal RNA". It matches the Rfam family "Bacterial small subunit ribosomal RNA", at positions 524 to 776 of the family's 1533-position model. The record is from RNAcentral.
GACGGAGGGGGCAAGCGUUGUUCGGAAUUAUUGGGCGUAAAGGGCGCGUAGGCGGCUUUUCAAGUGACGGGUGAAAUCCCUCGGCUUAACCGAGGAACUGCCUGUCAGACUGGAAGGCUUGAGACCGGGAGAGGUGAGUGGAAUUCCCAGUGUAGCGGUGAAAUGCGUAGAUAUUGGGAGGAACACCAGUGGCGAAGGCGGCUCACUGGACCGGAACUGACGCUGAGGCGCGAAAGCGUGGGGAGCAAACAGG